Apis cerana (Asiatic honeybee) is the source of this 1550-nucleotide long non-coding RNA. RefSeq lists it as uncharacterized. NCBI's taxonomy places the organism in Eukaryota, Metazoa, Arthropoda, Insecta, Hymenoptera, Apidae. The record is from RefSeq and is a predicted model, not a curated record.
UGAAAUAGUUGUAUAUGUACAAUUAAUCUAACACUGCACAUACAGAAAAAAAUAUAUAUAAAAAUAUCGGUUAAGAAUUACUUAUAAACAACUUUUUAGAUGAAACGAAGAAAAAAUAGAACAAGACAGUGGAGAUAAAUUAAGCAAAUAUAUUAACAUCCUGUAUUAUCGACAAUUGAUAAAAAGAUUAGUUGAUUCAUCAUGGAAUGAAAAUAAUAUGAAAGUGUCACAUCUAUAUAAAAUAUAUAGCAUAUGUAUAUCUUUACGUAAAUGUUCCUUUUCUCGUCAGCUAUGAAUAAUUCAUUUAAUAAUUUUUAUUUACAAUAUAUUAUACACACGUAGAUAAAUUAUGUGGAAAUUCAGGCUGAUUAAUUAUAAGGAAUAAUUUUAUAAUUUUAAAAAAUAUUUCAAAUUUAAAUAAAAAAAGUUAAUAUAACAUCAAUUAUAACAGUCGUUUCUUCUCCAUGCAUCUGUUCAUCGUACGACCAAUGCUGGAAGGGAAUAAGGGAGGAAUCGAUCACGGUUGGUGUCACCAAAAUCUUCGAGUAAUCGUCGAAUCUCGCCGUUAUCUUCAAAGUCGAAAACGUCGUGUCAGACGGGUUGACGGAAGUGCAAGAAUGGAGCGACUCGUUGGAGCAUUGGAUCACAGCACAUAGGCGGACACCAGCGUCCAAUAUCUUUUCGAACACGUGAAUACCAUCGUACACAACUGCAUGAUAAUAAGUGGACGGAUCGAUAGUAUCUGUACGAAUCAGAAAGUCGCAACAGAAGUUACCGUAACAGAUAGUUUUAUUCAUGGAAUCAUUAACCAGAAUAGAAUUAAACCAUGUAACAUGAUCGUGCUUUAACUUUAUCAAAUCGAUGUUCGAUGUAUGCAGAUUUCUUUUCGAGUAAAAUUGACUUGUAUCUUUGAUAUAUUUCUCUCGUGUUUCGAUUUUUUUAGGCGUUUUUGGUACUCGAGAGAUUAAAAGCCGCUCCUUCGGAUUUGUAGACAUGGUCACGUUGAUUAUUCCGUUGCGACCUAAUAAAAAUUUGAAAAAUUAAUGUAGAUAAUUUAACAACUUUAGAAAUUAAAAGAAAAUGAUUAUAAAUAUUAUAAUAUUGCUUUGAUUUUUGAAUUUUUCAAAUUUGGAGUUAAUAUAUAAAAAAUUGUUAUUCUAUGAUAUUAUUGAUUUAUUAAUAAAAGAGAUUAUUUUCUGUUAAAAGAAAAUUUUAUUCCACAAAAUAAUCCAAAAUCUAUAAUAAAUGUCGUUUGCUUUUAUAAAUUUCUAUGCUUAGUUUACAUUAUAUUAUGAAGAAAUUUCAUAUAUUAUAACAAUUCAAAAAAAUUGUUUUCUUCUUACUUCUUGCUUCAAAUGUUAAGUUUAUGAUCAAUUUUUGGACUUAUUUAUAAUCUAAUAAUAAAAAUCUUUAAAAGAAAUAAGUUUUACAAAAGCAACAUAAUAUUAAUAAGUAAAAUUAAAAGUUAAGAACAAAUAUUUAAGGCAAAAAUGAAAAAUAAGAUGUAUCAUAUCAAUACCUAAAUAAAUACCGCUUCCUAUGCUUCCGAA